UUGACCUCGGAUCAGGUAGGACUACCCGCUGAACUUAAGCAUAUCAAUAAGCGGAGGAAAAGAAACCAACAGGGAUUGCCCCAGUAACGGCGAGUGAAGCGGCAACAGCUCAGAUUUGGAAUCUGGCCCCCAGGGCCCGAGUUGUAAUCUGGAGAGGAUGCUUCUGGCGCGGCGCCUUCCGAGUUCCCUGGAACGGGACGCCGGAGAGGGUGAGAGCCCCGUACGGUUGGACGCCUAGCCUUUGUGAAGCUCCUUCGACGAGUCGAGUAGUUUGGGAAUGCUGCUCAAAAUGGGAGGUAAAUUUCUUCUAAAGCUAAAUACCGGCCAGAGACCGAUAGCGCACAAGUAGAGUGAUCGAAAGAUGAAAAGCACUUUGAAAAGAGGGUCAAACAGUACGUGAAAUUGUUGAAAGGGAAGCGCCCGUGGCCAGACUUGUGCCCCGCGGACCACCCGGCGCCCUCAGCGCCGGUGCACUCCGCGGGGCGCAGGCCAGCAUCGGUUUUCCUAGGGGGAUAAAGGCGGCGGGAACGUGGCUCCCUCGGGAGUGU
Molecule: ribosomal RNA, 548 nt
Filed under: Leptographium clavigerum
Lineage: Eukaryota; Fungi; Ascomycota; Sordariomycetes; Ophiostomatales; Ophiostomataceae
Description: eukaryotic LSU rRNA
Rfam family: Eukaryotic large subunit ribosomal RNA
Source: RNAcentral